This 1193-nucleotide long non-coding RNA is filed under the name Homo sapiens (human). RNAcentral describes it as "HSALNT0094839". The record is from RNAcentral. Lineage: Eukaryota; Metazoa; Chordata; Mammalia; Primates; Hominidae.
CAUCUAUUAAUCACCUGUCAGUUACUUGGCACUGCUAGCCCUGGGGAGACACAGAUGGAUUAAUAGAAUGAGUGAGACCUAAGCCCUUUGUGAAAAAGCUCCAAUUUGGGAAGAUCCGUAGCCCAAGCCAAUGAUGUUCCAUGAAGAGUAGCUGGGGCUUUGGGAGCUAAGAAGAGGCACCUGGCCCUGACAGGGUGAUACCUGCUCUGAGGCCUGAAAGAUGAAAAUGAGUUAAUCAGCUCUCAUGAAGAAACGUGGAAUCUUAUAACCUCCCAACCUCCCAAGACCCACUGAAUCUGCAUUUUCACCAGAUCCCAAGGCAUGGAAGAAACGAAAUACACCUGAAAAUGUGUACCAGUGAAGUGACCACAGAGGAACUCUCAUCUUCCGCUGAGGCCCAGCUCACUUUGUGGAAGACCUUCAAGAUGCCCAGGCACAAGAUGAAGAAGGCAAGGCUGGAGAGGUGAAGAAGUUUGUUGGAGUGGUGACAAAGCUAGUGGGUAGGAGAGCCAGCACUUGAACACAGGCAGCCCAGCCCUAAGUACUUGUCCUACCUAAACCACUAUGCACCCCCUCCCCAGCUAGGGUAGUUGCAUAUUUUUGGAAAAUCCUUGAUAUGGUUUGGCUGCGUCCCCACCCAAAUCCCAUCUUGAACUGUAGCUCCCAUAAUUCCCACGUGUUGUGGGAGGGACCGGGUGGGAGAUAAUCGAAUCAUGGUGGUACCUUCCCCCAUACUGUUCUCGUGGUAAUGAAUAACUCUCAUGAGAUCUGAUGAUUUUAUAAGGGGAAAUCUCUUUUGCUUGGCUCACAUUCUCUCUUGUCUGCCACCGUGUAAGACAUGCAUUUCACCUUCCACCAUGAUUGUGAGGCCUCCCCAGCCACGUGGAACUGUGAGUCCAUUAAACCUCUUUUUCUGUAUAAAUUACCCAGUCUCAGGUAUGUCUUUAACAGCAGCAUGAAAACGAACUAAUACAACCUUCAAACCUUCUCCCUUGAACACAUUUUCACUGAGCAAGACUCUAGCAGCUGCUGUGGUAAGUGAGGCAGGCUUGGGGAAGAAAGCAGCCAGCACGCAGCCACUCAUCCCCUUCUCCAGACAGACAGGGGACCUGAGCUGCUGGAUCACUCUCUAGAUGACCAUGAAUCAGCAUUCCUUUCAGUGGAUCAACUAGAAUUGCUUAGUAAUCCUCAAC